Molecule: long non-coding RNA, 2200 nt
Filed under: Schizosaccharomyces pombe (fission yeast)
Lineage: Eukaryota; Fungi; Ascomycota; Schizosaccharomycetes; Schizosaccharomycetales; Schizosaccharomycetaceae
Source: RNAcentral
UACUGCCUUUACAUACAAUUUGUACAAAUACUGAUGCGCUAUGGAUGCAAAAAAGUAGAAAAGUUGACAGGCAUAAAUUUCUCUACAAACUCUCAACAGGAACUUUUAACUGUGUUUAUAUUCACACAUCCUCUUACUUUUACUGUUACCGCCAUGUCAUAAAGGUUUACUUGAAAAUUAUGUUUUAUACAAAGUACGCAUUACAGACAUGGCAUGUCGAAAGCCAACGAUAUUGUAAAGUAAAAACCUAAUAAUAGUAUUAUUAAUGCCACAAACCAUGAAGAAAAUUAAAGGACUAGUAAACACAUUUUUAAAUUCAGUAAUCGUCAAUCACAACACCGCUUCUUUGCUUUGACCGUUUGUUUUUUUUGUUAUGCUUUUUUGAAGUUGCAGAGGAAAGUGCUUCGGGUGAAACACCAAGCUCUAAAGCUGUCAAUUGGCGAGCCUUCCUGCGUGAAAGUGGUUUGCCUUGAGCAUUCAUCGGGUACUUCGGAGAUGCAUCAUCAUUCAAACGACGUUGGAAAGGCUGCAUAGUAUUACGGCCUUUAUAAACGGGUCCUUGCAUGGCAACAGCGGUACCUUUUACCAUUGGGCGCACAUGCGGGUUUUCCUGAAAAUACUCGUCGUCAACAAGCUGACUUUCAGCUGACAACGUAUUGUCGGAUAUCGCUGUUCGUUGUAACUUUUCAGUAAUCGAGUCAGACGUAGCAGAAACAAUCUUUUGGUGAUGUUCUUUGUUAAAUUCAGAGCCAGAAUUUGGAUAGUUAGGUGGAGGAUGGACGUAAAGAAGUUUACCGUUUACAUAGUCCUUCAAAAGAAUACGGGCUGCUCGUGAAUCAUCAGGUGUACCGUGAUGUGCACGCAUAAAACCACGAGAUCUAGCAAAAGGAAAAAGAACUUCUUGAGCAGACGGAACUCCAGUGCCACCUUCCUCAAUCGGUUUAAUACGAAUCCUUAUAGUAUAUAAUGUCUCAAGAACUUCCUUAGGAAUUCUUUCAGCCAUUAAUGCCGAUGGGCCUGUGUAUUCACGAAGUUGAUCAAUUGGCAGUACGCCAUCUAGUACCAGAUCUGCCUGAGUAGUUGCGAAAGAAGGAAACACCAAACCUGGACAAUCCAAUAAUGAUACUUUUUCACUUAAGUUGAUAGUUUGAAAAUGCUUGGUCUUUCCAGGAGUAGAAGAUACAGAUACCUUCUUAGAGCCGACCAAUGCAUUAAUAGUAGAAGACUUACCGACAUUCGGAUAACCCACCAGCCCAAAUGUCAUUUUAGUCUUUCCAUCAGGAAGGGUAGAAGCAAACUUUUCAAAUAUACCUUCAAGGACCUUUAAUGUGGCGAUACGACUAGAAUGGACGUCGUUUUCAUCUGCCUGUAGGCUUUCAGGGAUUUCAUUUGAUGAAGUGGAUUCAUAGGUUUCCAGAUCCUCGCCCCUUUCAUUAGCUUCCGCAGCCAUACGAGCUGAAAAAAAUAGAAAAGGAAUAUUAUUUUCAUUGAAGUAAGAUGACCAGUAGUUACGCUGCUCUUCUGUUAACAUGUCUGCUUUGUUCACCAAAAGAAAAUUUUUUUUACUAGGACCAACUUCUUUAACGUAUUGUUCAAGGUGUGCUGAGCGAAAAAAGAGCGGAUUUCGAGCAUCUACUAUUUGAACAACAACAUCUGAUCGUUCAAUAACACGCCAUAGUUGACGCCAUAUUUCAAGGUUUCUCUCAAACGGUGUCACAAUGAAACCCUCAACAUCUUGAAGCUGUGCUAAAUUUCUACGCCAAUUUAAAAAUGAUUCACGCUCCAUCCUAUCUAACUCGACAGCUGUCGUUGUUUGAUCCCAAUGAGGACGUCUGGGAAUCGUCAAACGAUCUUUGUUUUUUUCUUGUUUUUGCUUUGAACGAGCAGCCUCCUCUUUACUAAGUAGAAAGGGAUUUUGCUCUGGAUUUUGAAUCACAGUAACAUUUUGUUUCUCUGCGAUAAACUCGACUUCUCCUAAUUCGGCAGUAUUUAAGAAUUCAUCCAGAUCCGUUUCAUGGGUAACCGAACGUAGAGCAGCACGAUGUGCCUUGGGAUCUGAAUCAACUAUAUGUUUUAAACCACCUUUACGAUUUCUCCUGUUCUUGGUAAAAUCUGAUUGAAUCGCUCUACCCAGUCCAAUUUGAUUUUUCGAUUUUGGAAGAACCUACUCAAUGACAAUUAGCAAAAAGCUUUCAAUUGA